GGUAGGUCCUGGCAGGGACCCCGGACGAGGGAGCCGUACCCGGUGCGCGACAAGACGGCCUCGGA
RNAcentral lists this non-coding RNA (65 nucleotides) under Nocardia brasiliensis. The record is from RNAcentral. Lineage: Bacteria; Bacillati; Actinomycetota; Actinomycetes; Mycobacteriales; Nocardiaceae. RNAcentral also lists the same sequence under 1 other name.